GAACGGGUGAGUAACGUGGGCAAUCUGCCCUGCACUCUGGGACAACCCUGGAAACGGGUAAUACCGGAUACGACACGGGAAGGUUUCGUGUGGAAAGUCCGGCGGUGCAGGAUGAGCCCGCGGCCUAUCAGCUGGUUGGUGGGGUAAUGGCCUACCAGGCGACGACGGGUAGCCGGCCUGAGAGGGCGACCGGCCACACUGGGACUGAGACACGGCCCAGACUCCUACGGGAGGCAGCAGUGGGGAAUAUUGCACAAUGGGCGAAAGCCUGAUGCAGCGACGCCGCGUGAGGGAUGACGGCCUUCGGGUUGUAAACCUCUUUCAGCAGGGAAGAAGGACGGUACCUGCAGAAGAAGCACCGGCU
RNAcentral lists this ribosomal RNA (364 nucleotides) under Streptomyces sparsus. RNAcentral's name for it is "bacterial SSU rRNA". It matches the Rfam family "Bacterial small subunit ribosomal RNA", at positions 100 to 498 of the family's 1533-position model. The record is from RNAcentral. Lineage: Bacteria; Bacillati; Actinomycetota; Actinomycetes; Kitasatosporales; Streptomycetaceae.